AGGUGAAACGGGUCGUCCCCAUACCCCGUCCGGUAUGGGUGCCAAAAUACAUAAGGUCUCCAUACCCCGUCCGAUAUGAGAGACCACGUUCCCGGUAGGGUUCCCUACGGACCCGGUCCGUCCACCAUCUCCCAAGAUAUCUAGUUAGGCUGUCGACAUCAUCCAUUUAUCAAUUCACAUACCAUUUUUCAUUUUUCUCGGUCUCAAUUAUCCAAUCAAAU
This 221-nucleotide long non-coding RNA is filed under the name Carica papaya (papaya). RNAcentral's name for it is "long non-coding RNA (CPAP_LNC003553)". Lineage: Eukaryota; Viridiplantae; Streptophyta; Magnoliopsida; Brassicales; Caricaceae. The record is from RNAcentral.